Long non-coding RNA from Lolium rigidum, 2782 nucleotides. RefSeq lists it as uncharacterized. The record is from RefSeq and is a predicted model, not a curated record. NCBI's taxonomy places the organism in Eukaryota, Viridiplantae, Streptophyta, Magnoliopsida, Poales, Poaceae. The transcript is spliced from 5 exons.
UGCAAAGGGCUUGCGGUUCGGUUCCCCGCUAGGCUGGCUGCACGGCCCUAGGCUCGGCUUCAGCUACUUCCAUCUCAGUUGCAGGUGAUGGACAAGGUGAGCUUGUUUAACUAAUCAGUGGUGGCUGAGAGUGUGCAAAAACUGGCAAAAAAUAGUGGCGUAGGUGAAGGAGUGGCCCUGAUUGAGCCAGCAGCAGUGGUCUGGCUGUCAUUAUGGAACAAGUGUACAUGAAGUAGAAGCUAUACCGGUGUCUUCUGCUCAUGUAGGCGAAUAGGGAGCGGGGGUUCGACGGUGGCGAGGAACGCGAGCACAUGAUGAUCGUGCUGGCACGAGGACCACCCCCUUGCCUUGGCCUCCUAGCAGUUCUUGGAAACAGUCAGUUUUGCAGGUACUCGUGGUGCUGCCUACUGAACCCUUUGAUUUGUGGCUCGGCAUCAGCGAUGGAUGCGGGGUUGGUGUCAUCGGAUCGCCGUCCUCAUGUUCCGCUAAUAGGAAAUAACGAUAGAUACGCUAGAUGUCAGCACCAUCAACUACGGCGAUGAGGUAAUUCCAGUCUCCAACCAUGCUGAAUUGCUAUGUAUGGUGUUUGCGAAUGGUGAUCCGAUCUGUAUUCUAGCCAAAUGAAAGUAAUAUCUUAGGAAAGAGCUAGAAUUCCGGAAGAAAUCAUGCUAGCAAAAUUUUGUGUCUUGAGGCAAGUGUGGAUGUAUGUACAUGUUUGUGCAACACAAGGAAGUGCUUGUCGAGAAUUUGCACAUAUUUUCUUUAAUUUACACCGGGCUUUGUAGACCACUAGUGGCUUUUGUGUUGUCACAUGUGCCCCUUAAUAUUUUAUUUGUGAUGUGAUUGUCUAGUUAGCGCUUCUAUGCUUUCUCUUGAGAUCAGUUUAAUGAGAGCUUGACAGUUUCGUGUGUUUUUUUUAUAUCAUGUUUUUUUAAAAGCUCGCUUACUUGCAUUCCUCCAAGUAUGAACCAUAAUGUUCAAGAUACGCACAUUUGAAUUGUCCUCAAUUUCUAUCUAAGACGGGUCGAUUUUCAUGCCAUGUUUAAAGAUUCUUCCUUGGCUACUUAAUAACAAGGUCUUUUUUAAUUCUGUCUACCAUUUUGUUUUCCACAUCCCUGCAAAAAAGAAACAUAACGUUUGGUUUUAUUUUUGGAAAAUCUGUGAAUUUGUUAGUUUCUGAUUGCUAGAAAUGAAGUUGGUGUUGAUGCUAUGGUGGUACUGAUGCAAUGCAAAAGAUGCCAGUUUGUCAAUGAAGCAGAACGAUAACAAAUUUUGCAUUUUAUUAAUUAUCAGUUGGGUAUUAUUAUAGGAUAGCCUUUUUAUGUUACAUGAAUGGUUUGUGUGCAUCUGUUCUCUGAUAUGGUACUUUUGAAACCUGUACUAAUAUUUUGCGAUUUAACAAACACACAACUGCUGUCAUAUAAAGAAGAAUUCUGAUGUUGCCUUCUCAUUGAUGCAUGUGCUCUUGCUGCUAAUCAAAAUACGAGUUUCUUGUGCCGAAUUGCUCCAUGACUUGGAAAUUGUUGUGUGAAUUCAUUAUAUUAAUAAGAUUUUUUUUUAUCUUCAGGGCUUGGUUUAGUUGACUUCAUCAAUGUCUGUCUUAAACUGAUUUUUAUUUGAUGUGGGCAAAGCUGGAGCAUCUGUUCUUGAGGGUUUUGUUAUUGCUAUAGUGCGGCUUGUUUUGUACUAGAUCUUCGAAAAGGUUUCAUGUUUUGUGAUUCAAUACAAUGACACCUUAUAAAUAUGAAUUAUGAUGUCUUAUUGAUGCUGGUAAACUGAUUAUUACUUUCUUGCCUUAUCUAUCUCUUGAUAGCCUUACCUAUUGCUAGCUAGUGAUGAGAUAAUACUGAUAGAAUUAUUUGAUCUAAAUAAUAUGUUUCCAUGCUUAUAUGCUUCCAUAACCUGCACUACAUGGAGCAAUGAGAAGUGGGGAUAUGCAUUGCCGGUCAAGUCGAAGGAGUGUUUUUACUGUAGUACUACAGUAGCACUCGUUACUCCAUUGGAUCAAUGUGCUCUACCGGUAUGAAGGAAGUUAAAACUAGCUAGGUUAUUCCUAAAAUCUAUCACUGGUGACCUGAUCAGUUUCGCCACCUAGAGCGGCCUCUUUCAAGGCAUCGGCGCCUUCACUAGCGCACUCCUGUCCGUGAGGUUGUUGAAUCCUCCAUCCAGCUCUGGCGCUCGUGCAUGUCCGGGAUUUAGAGUAUUGUACCUACAGUACAACUUCUACUGCUAACAAUGGUGGCUUCCAUCCAGCUGGAACUGAGCUGCUGUAGAACAACAGGGUGUUGGUUGCUGGCACCAUCCUGCCUCAGAAAUCCACCAUCAGACAAUGCGUGGCCAGGAGGUGGCUAUACCGAAGGAGAGGACGAGCUAGCGUUCCAGGAUGGAGAUUUGCUGGCCGGUGUGUAUCUUGGUGGGUCUGUCUGCUGACCAGCUGGCCGCCACCGCGGGAGUUGUUUGUGGCGGCGUUUUGCCGUUACUUAGUUCUUUCACUAGAAAUUUCUAUGACUUGGUACUGUUUAGUCGGUGACCUGAGCUUCAAGAUUUUGUUGUUGCAAGUAGAGGAUCUGUGCUGGCUCGAUCCGAUGCAUAUGUGUGUUGUAUUGAAUGUGAUGCAAGUCUUGUUAGCUUUGCUGUUGUGAUGUUUGACAGUGAACUCAAGGCUAUAUGCACUUAUAUUGUUCCAUAAUUUUAGUGUAAUGUGAAUUCCCAAAAAAGGUCAAAGGUCAUAUUGUAUUGAUUCUUGCAAUGUUUGAGUUGAAUUGUAUUAUUAAUUGUUUCA